Molecule: ribosomal RNA, 497 nt
Filed under: uncultured bacterium
Lineage: Bacteria
Description: partial 16S ribosomal RNA
Rfam family: Bacterial small subunit ribosomal RNA
Source: RNAcentral
GAUGAACGCUGGCGGCGUGCCUAAUACAUGCAAGUCGAGCGAACAGACGAGGAUUUUGCUCCUCUGUCGUUAGCGGCGGACGGGUGCGUAACAUGUGGAUAACGUACUUAUAAGACUGGGAUAUCUUCGGGAAACCGGCGCUAAUACCGUAUAAUAUAUUGAUCCGCAUGGUUCAAUAGUGAAAGACGGUUUUGCUGUCACUUAUAGAUGUAUCCACGCCGCAUUAGCUAGUUGGUAAGGUUACGGCUUACCAAGGCAACGAUGCGUAGCCGAACUGAGAGGGUGAUAGGCCACACGAGAACUGAGACACGGACCAUACUGCUACGAGAGGCAGCAGAAGGGAAUCUUAGGCAGAGGGCGAAAACAUGACAGAGCAACGCCGAGUGGGAGAUGAAGGUCUUCGGAUCGUGAAACUCUGCUAUUAGGGAAAAACAAAUGUGUAAGUAACUAAGGACGUCUUGACGGUACCUAAUCAGGAAGCCACGGCUAACUACGUG